GACGGAGGGGGCUAGCGUUGUUCGGAAUCACUGGGCGUAAAGCGUGCGUAGGCGGUUUGACAAGUCAGAAGUGAAAGCCCUGGGCUCAACCCAGGAACUGCUUUUGAUACUGAGAGUCUUGAGUGUGGUAGAGGUUGGUGGAACUGCGAGUGUAGAGGUGAAAUUCGUAGAUAUUCGCAAGAACACCAGUGGCGAAGGCGACUAACUGGACUUUUGGUGACGCUGAGGUGCGAAAGCGUGGGGAGCAAACAGG
RNAcentral lists this ribosomal RNA (253 nucleotides) under uncultured bacterium. RNAcentral describes it as "partial 16S ribosomal RNA". It matches the Rfam family "Bacterial small subunit ribosomal RNA", at positions 524 to 776 of the family's 1533-position model. The record is from RNAcentral.